RNAcentral lists this ribosomal RNA (434 nucleotides) under uncultured bacterium. Its description in RNAcentral is "partial 16S ribosomal RNA". It matches the Rfam family "Bacterial small subunit ribosomal RNA", at positions 29 to 507 of the family's 1533-position model. The record is from RNAcentral.
AGCGAACGCUGGCGGCAGGCCUAACACAUGCAAGUCGAACGAACCUUUCGGGGUUAGUGGCGGAAGGGUGAGUAACACGUGGGAACGUGCCUUUAGGUUCGGAAUAACUCAGGGAAACUUGUGCUAAUACCGAAUGUGCCCUUCGGGGGAAAGAUUAAUCGCCUUUAGAGCGGCCCGCGUCUGAUUAGCUAGUUGGUUGAGGUAAUGGCACACCAAGGCGACGAAUAGUAGCUGGUCAUAGAGGACGAUCAGCCACAUUGGGACUGAGACACGGCCCACAAUACCGCGGGACGCAGCAGUGGGGAAUCUUGCGCACAGGGCGAAAGCCUAACGCAGCCAUGCCGCGUGAAUGAGGAAUUUCAUAGGAGUGGCAACCAGUUAUAUCGGAGACGCUACUGACGGUACCCGGAGAAGAAGCCACGUCUAACUACGUG